RNAcentral lists this ribosomal RNA (468 nucleotides) under uncultured bacterium. RNAcentral's name for it is "partial 16S ribosomal RNA". It matches the Rfam family "Bacterial small subunit ribosomal RNA", at positions 28 to 507 of the family's 1533-position model. The record is from RNAcentral.
GACGAACGCUGGCGGCGUGCUUAACACAUGCAAGUCGAACGGAAAGGCCCUGCUUUUGUGGGGUGCUCGAGUGGCGAACGGGUGAGUAACACGUGAGUAACCUGCCCUUGACUUUGGGACAACUUCAGGAAACUGGGGCUAAUACCGGAUAGGAGCUCCUGCUGCAUGGUGGGGGUUGGAAAGUUUCGGCGGUUGGGGAUGGACUCGCGGCUUAUCAGCUUGUUGGUGGGGUAGUGGCUUACCAAGGCUUUGACGGGUAGCCGGCCUGAGAGGGUGACCGGCCACAUUGGGACUGAGAUACGGCCCAGACUCCUACGGGAGGCAGCAGUGGGGAAUAUUGCACAAUGGGCGGAAGCCUGAUGCAGCAACGCCGCGUGCGGGGUGACGGCCUUCGGGUUGUAAACCGCUUUCGCCUGUGACGAAGCGUGAGUGACGGUAAUGGGUAAAGAAGCACCGGCUAACUACGUG